This 324-nucleotide unclassified non-coding RNA is filed under the name Conocybe sp. RNAcentral's name for it is "partial internal transcribed spacer region". The stretch from base 1 to 46 matches the Rfam family "Eukaryotic small subunit ribosomal RNA", at positions 1786 to 1831 of the family's 1831-position model. Lineage: Eukaryota; Fungi; Basidiomycota; Agaricomycetes; Agaricales; Bolbitiaceae. The record is from RNAcentral.
AAGUCGUAACAAGGUUUCCGUAGGUGAACCUGCGGAAGGAUCAUUAUUGAAUAAUCUUGAUGGAUUGUUGCUGGCUCUUUCAAGGGAGCAAGUGCACGUCUGUCAUUUUUAUCUUUCCACCAUGUGCACUAUGCAUAGACUUGACCUUUCUGUGAUCAAACUUUGUAUUGGUUUUUGGAGAUUGCUGUUUGUGAUAACAGCUUUUUCUGUGUUCAAGUUCUAUGAAUUUAUAUACACUCCUAUGCAUGUCAAAGAAUGUUAUAAAGGGUUUUUAAAAGCCUAUAAAGUUAAAUACAACUUUCAGCAACGGAUCUCUUGGCUCUC